AAUUAGUUCGAACGAUUUUAUUUUGAAAACUGAACGUUUUAGGGGGGUCAAAGGAGUUGACUUUUUAUACAUUGGGAAAUUGGGAAAACUUCCUUCAUGAAAGUUGUAGAGCGCGUCGAUACGAGUUCGUGGACAUAUGGAACGUAAUAUUCGGAGUUCGUAUGAAUAAGUUACGAAUAUUUGAAAAUUGGGAUUUUCUAUAAAUAUGAAAAAAAAUCCGAAUAUUGCAAAUGAGGACAGAAUUUCUGGAACUCCAGAAAUUUCUCCCCAUUUCUCUCCCGAGCCCAGCCGCGACCCCCUCCCUUCGUCACCUUCGUUCUUCCUCAUCCGGCCACCGAUUGAUGUGAAACAAAGUGGGUUUUUCUGGUCUCGACCCCCUUUACGAGUUUGUAGAAGAAAUCGAAGUGAAAUACGAGCUGUAUGAGGCUCUACAAGGUCGAGAAGAGAGCCUCGUCGGAGACGAAAUCGCUCUUCCCCACUUUUUCUGGGCUCUACUUUGUCUGGCCAUAUCUUCCUCUACAGGCCUCCGAUCGACCUGAUUCCAAAAGCAAUUUUUCUCACCGUGAAGUUUUCUACAACUUUCCAGAAGACAUCGACUUGAGAUAACCAUCGUGGUGGCCGCUAGAAGACCGAGAAGCCGCACAGCCGAGCUGGAAAUCGUCUUCCUUCGCCACCUUGGUUCUCCCAGCUCCGGCCACUAUAGCUCGAGUUCUUUGAGGGCUUUUCUAGCCCAGAGGAAGUAGAAGCUAUCCCCAAGAAGGCUUGCAGCGAUUUGAUCCGGGGUGAUCGAAUUUUGAAGAUUGGGAAACUAGGGUUCUUCGGGUUUCAAAACUUGCGAGGUGAUUGACGGUCUCCCUUGGGUGAACGAUUUCGGUGUGUAUUGUGUUGAAUUGAAGACGCAGCGGGAAUAUCGAGGUGAGUAAAUCGCACAUGGUUCAUUCACGAACCGAAAUUCGGUGAUUUUAUUUAAUUGAGAAAUUGUGGAAAUUGUUUUACUAAAAUAAAUAUUUGUUUUAAAUUAUAUGGACUUGAUCGACUACGGUCCAUAGGUAAGUAAAAUGUAUUUAAACUAUAAAAAUGAAUUUCUAGAUUUUAUUGCAUGUGAACUAUAGUUGGUAUUAGUGGUCACUCUUGUGUGGGUGACUACGUAUAUAUAUAUUUACGUGGAAUAUAUAUUGGAUGGUGUGAUUUACUGAGUUA
Rosa rugosa (rugosa rose) is the source of this 1200-nucleotide long non-coding RNA. RefSeq lists it as uncharacterized. NCBI's taxonomy places the organism in Eukaryota, Viridiplantae, Streptophyta, Magnoliopsida, Rosales, Rosaceae. The transcript has 2 exons. The record is from RefSeq and is a predicted model, not a curated record.